This 369-nucleotide ribosomal RNA is filed under the name uncultured organism. RNAcentral describes it as "bacterial SSU rRNA". It matches the Rfam family "Bacterial small subunit ribosomal RNA", at positions 526 to 896 of the family's 1533-position model. The record is from RNAcentral.
CGAAGGGGGCGAGCGUUAUUCGGAAUCACUGGGCGUAAAGCGUGCGUAGGCUGUCUAGAAAGUUGGAAGUGAAAGCCCAGGGCUCAACCCUGGAAUUGCUUUCAAAACUACUAGACUCGGAUUUGGGAGAGGAUAGCGGAAUUGUCAGUGUAGCAGUGAAAUGCGUAGAUAUUGACAGGAACACCGGUGCGUAAGCGGCUAUCUGGACCAACAUCGACGCUGAGGCACGAAAGCGUGGGGAUCAAACAGGAUUAGAUACCCUGGUAGUCCACGCCGUAAACGAUGUGUGCUUGUCGCUGGGGAGUUCACUCUUCGGUGACGCAGCUAACGCGUUAAGCACACCGCCUGGGAAGUACGGCCGCAAGGUUA